Molecule: ribosomal RNA, 301 nt
Filed under: uncultured bacterium
Lineage: Bacteria
Description: partial 16S ribosomal RNA
Rfam family: Bacterial small subunit ribosomal RNA
Source: RNAcentral
CAGUAGCCGCGGGAAUACGUAGGGUGCAAGCGUUAAUCGGAAUUACUGGGCGUAAAGCGUGCGCAAGCGGUUAUAUAAGACAGAUGUGAAAUCCCCGGGCUCAACCUGGGAACUGCAUUUGUGACUGUAUAGCUAGAGUACGGCAGAGGGGGAUGGAAUUCCGCGUGUAGCAGUGAAAUGCGUAGAUAUGCGGAGGAACACCGAUGGCGAAGGCAAUCCCCUGGGCCUGUACUGACGCUCAUGCACGAAAGCGUGGGGAGCAAACAGGAUUAGAUACCCCUGUAGUCCCUGUCUCUUAUAC